CCACUUCAAGAUGAUGAAGUUGUCUCCUAUCUCCUCACUGGCCUGAGUGAGGAAUAUGACCCGCUGGUGAUGUCGAUCACCACCAAAGCGGAUGCAUUGACAUUGAGCGAGGUGUAUAACCACCUCCUCAGCUUCGAGA
This is a small nucleolar RNA of Phragmites australis (common reed), 139 nucleotides long. RefSeq annotates it as small nucleolar RNA Z247. NCBI's taxonomy places the organism in Eukaryota, Viridiplantae, Streptophyta, Magnoliopsida, Poales, Poaceae. The record is from RefSeq and is a predicted model, not a curated record. The transcript has a single exon.